This 253-nucleotide ribosomal RNA is filed under the name uncultured bacterium. Its description in RNAcentral is "partial 16S ribosomal RNA". It matches the Rfam family "Bacterial small subunit ribosomal RNA", at positions 524 to 776 of the family's 1533-position model. The record is from RNAcentral.
UACGUAGGGGGCAAGCGUUGUCCGGAAUUAUUGGGCGUAAAGAGCUCGUAGGCGGUUUGUCGCGUCUGCUGUGAAAACUCGGGGCUUAACCCCAGUCCUGCUUUCGAUACGGGUGGACUAGAGGUAGGCAGGGGAGAAUGGAAUUCCUGGUGUAGCGGUGAAAUGCGCAGAUAUCAGGAGGAACACCGGUGGCGAAGGCGGUUCUCUGGGCCUUACCUGACGCUGAGGAGCGAAAGCAUGGGGAGCAAACAGG